This is a microRNA precursor of Nicotiana attenuata, 96 nucleotides long. It matches the Rfam family "MIR6152 microRNA precursor family". NCBI's taxonomy places the organism in Eukaryota, Viridiplantae, Streptophyta, Magnoliopsida, Solanales, Solanaceae. The record is from Rfam.
UGGACAGAUUAUUGUAUUCGAUUGUAUUCACGGCGUAAAACAGGGGAUUACACUGUUUUUAAACGGAAAGUGAAUCAAUUAACAUAAUAGACUCCU